GAUGAACGCUGGCGGCGUGCUUAACACAUGCAAGUCGAACGAACCUUCGGGUUAGUGGCGGACGGGUGAGUAACGCGUGAGAAUCUGCCCUCAGGAGGGGGACAACAGCUGGAAACGGCUGCUAAUACCCCAUAUGCCGCGAGGUGAAAUGAAUUUCGCCUGAGGAUGAGCUCGCGUCUGAUUAGCUAGUUGGUGAGGUAAUGGCUCACCAAGGCAUCGAUCAGUAGCUGGUCUGAGAGGAUGAUCAGCCACACUGGGACUGAGACACGGCCCAGACUCCUACGGGAGGCAGCAGUGGGGAAUUUUCCGCAAUGGGCGAAAGCCCGACGGAGCAACGCCGCGUGAGGGAUGAAGGCCUCUGGGCUGUAAACCUCUUUUAUCAAGGAAGAAGAUCUGACGGUACUUGAUGAAUAAGCCACGGCUAAUUCCGUG
This 432-nucleotide ribosomal RNA is filed under the name uncultured bacterium. RNAcentral's name for it is "bacterial SSU rRNA". It matches the Rfam family "Bacterial small subunit ribosomal RNA", at positions 28 to 507 of the family's 1533-position model. The record is from RNAcentral.